This 253-nucleotide ribosomal RNA is filed under the name uncultured bacterium. RNAcentral describes it as "partial 16S ribosomal RNA". It matches the Rfam family "Bacterial small subunit ribosomal RNA", at positions 524 to 776 of the family's 1533-position model. The record is from RNAcentral.
UACGAAGGGGACUAGCGUUGUUCGGAAUCACUGGGCGUAAAGCGCACGUAGGCGGAUAUGUCAGUCAGGGGUGAAAUCCCGGGGCUCAACCUCGGAACUGCCUUUGAUACGGCAUAUCUUGAGUCCGAUAGAGGUGGGUGGAAUUCCUAGUGUAGAGGUGAAAUUCGUAGAUAUUAGGAAGAACACCGGUGGCGAAGGCGGCCCACUGGAUCGGUACUGACGCUGAGGUGCGAAAGCGUGGGGAGCAAACAGG